Non-coding RNA from Oryza nivara, 110 nucleotides. The record is from Rfam. NCBI's taxonomy places the organism in Eukaryota, Viridiplantae, Streptophyta, Magnoliopsida, Poales, Poaceae.
AUAUUCUUAGGCCCGGUCUUGAGGCAGAAACUGAGUAGUUGGUGAACUCACUCUAUGUUGUUCGUUCACUCGCGACACGGUUCCUGUCCCAAGGCCGAGUCUGUGAAUAU